Molecule: long non-coding RNA, 209 nt
Filed under: Coturnix japonica (Japanese quail)
Lineage: Eukaryota; Metazoa; Chordata; Aves; Galliformes; Phasianidae
Description: lncRNA (ENSCJPG00005001106.1)
Source: RNAcentral
UCUAUUCAUCUCAUGCCCCUUUACCCUUCCAGGACCCUUAUAACCCAUUUAAAGCCCCAUUUUCCCCUUCCAGGACCCUUAUAACCCAUUCUAAGCCCCUUUUUCCCCUUCCAGGACCUUCCCAUUCCACUCUAUUGACUCUUUACCCUUCCAGGACCUUCCCAACCCAUCCCAACCAACCCACCCCAACCCAUUCAAAGCCCCUUUAA